Molecule: ribosomal RNA, 501 nt
Filed under: uncultured bacterium
Lineage: Bacteria
Description: partial 16S ribosomal RNA
Rfam family: Bacterial small subunit ribosomal RNA
Source: RNAcentral
AUUGAACGCUGGCGGCAGGCUUAACACAUGCAAGUCGAGCGGAGAUGAGGUGCUUGCACCUUAUCUUAGCGGCGGACGGGUGAGUAAUGCUUAGGAAUCUGCCUAUUAGUGGGGGACAACAUUCCGAAAGGAAUGCUAAUACCGCAUACGUCCUACGGGAGAAAGCAGGGGAUCUUCGGACCUUGCGCUAAUAGAUGAGCCUAAGUCGGAUUAGCUAGUUGGUGGGGUAAAGGCCUACCAAGGCGACGAUCUGUAGCGGGUCUGAGAGGAUGAUCCGCCACACUGGGACUGAGACACGGCCCGGACGCCUACGGGAGGCAGCAGUGGGGAAUAUUGGACAAUGGGGGGAACCCUGAUCCAGCCAUGCCGCGUGUGUGAAGAAGGCCUUAUGGUUGUAAAGCACUUUAAGCGAGGAGGAGGCUACUGAGACUAAUACUCUUGGAUAGUGGACGUUACUCGCAGAAUAAGCACCGGCUAACUCUGUGCCAGCCGCCGCGGUAA